Molecule: long non-coding RNA, 1216 nt
Filed under: Nicotiana benthamiana
Lineage: Eukaryota; Viridiplantae; Streptophyta; Magnoliopsida; Solanales; Solanaceae
Description: long non-coding RNA (NBEN_LNC035174)
Source: RNAcentral
UUUGUAGCAUUUGGUGGGUAGACUUGAUCAUCUUAUUGGUGGUUGUUACUAGAAUUUUGUCUAUUUUCCCAUUCAGCAAAUUGAACACCAGCUGAAGUUUGCAUACUCCAAUAGGUUAUCUCUUAAAUCAUUUCUUUUUGUCUUUAAUGUUUAGCAAAUUUUCUCGCUUUGCAGGUCAGAUGGAGAACUUUUGGGUCCCAAUUAUGAGCACCUUCGAAAAGUUUUAUCCGUUUUUGCAGAGGUUAUUUUGAUAUCAGAACCUAUAGCUGCCAGAUUGAGUUGUUUAUUUGUUCCUGUUAUUUUUUAUCCAGUAAAGAAGUAAUACUAAAUCUUAUUUAGUAAUUUCCGUUGUAUGUUAGUAAUUUGUCUAUCAGAUCUAUACUGAAUUUCUGAUCCGAAAUAACAUACACAUCAAUCAAAAAAGUAGAUAGGUAAAAUAGUAUGAAAUUGUUGAAAUAAUUUGCAAAGAUCAUAAGUCAUAUAAGUUUUGCUUUUCUUAGGUUCUAUGUGCUGGAAACGAUCUUGCCACUGAAGAGAUGAAAAACCGAAUGAUUAAUCCGUUGAGGAAUCUUCAGAAAACCGUACCAGCAACCACCUGGGCAUCAGCGUGUUCAUUGCUAUUGCCUCAGCAAGAGAUGGAAGUGGAAUCCAUUCUAUCACAUAAGCAAGAUGCUAACUUGUCACCAGUGCAAUCAGGGGCAAAGUUAGGUGGACGCAAGGGGCGUAUAUUGAAAGGCCGUCGACAAAAACUUGUAUUGCGCAAAUAGGGUAAAAUAAUUCUCUUGACAAAAAGGGAAGAUGCUAGCGGAGUAGCAAAGGUGGCUUAAAAAUAGCUUCAAUUCCAACCGUAGCAUUCUUGAAAUUCUUUGAUAUUCGAACUCCACAGCUGAGUGCAAUGAAUCUAUGAUUUCUGCAACUUUGUGUCGUUCAAACAUUUGACCAGGAAGAUGAAGGUAUGAUGCAAUUUGCUAGCCAAUUGCUGUUCUGAACUGCUUAUUAUCCCAGUUCAGAAGUCGCAAUGUUUCAUGUGAACGCUCUACCACUUCUCCAUUUUCAUGGAAGUUCCUGUAAGAUCCAUGUUGAGCAAGAAAAUCAGUUAACAUGGUGACCUUUAAUAAAAGGGACGCUCCAUGCAUCUUUACAAAUUUUAAUUAAAUAAAUCAACAAACAAAUUUCUAAAAUUUAUACUGAACUUUUUUAUAAGAAAAAAGAAAGG